This 506-nucleotide long non-coding RNA is filed under the name Homo sapiens (human). Its description in RNAcentral is "HSALNT0118949". Lineage: Eukaryota; Metazoa; Chordata; Mammalia; Primates; Hominidae. The record is from RNAcentral.
GAUUGAAUUCACAGGUCCAUGUUGUAUUUCGUUGUCAUGUCUCCUUGGUUGGCAAUAUAUGAACGUAUCUCAGUCGUGGAAGACAUUGACACUUUUGAAGAGUACAGCUCCAUGUGAUUUGUCCUUGCUGAUGAAGCAGUAACAUAUACAGCAUUGCUCUAGUGUCUGCAUUCUGUGGAACGGAGGACAUGGAUUCUCACUAUGACACCCAGGCUGGAGUGCAGUGGCACAAUCAUAGCUGACUACAGCCUCGAAUUUCUGGGCUCAAGCAAGGCUUUCAUCUCAACCUCCCCAGGAGCUGGGAUUACAGAUGGUGUCAGAAGCGGGGUUCAAAGUAGAGCUUUAAUGACCCCCAGAAGUGCUGAGUGAACAAGCAAGGUACCUGCAAGGACCCACUUGUGUCCUUUGAUCUCUCAGAGCAGUGGAAUUUUCAGCCUGCCAGCCUGCCCUACAGAAUUCAGACUUGUCAGCCUCCACAAUCAGUUCAUCCCAGAGAGUCCCUCUCU